UACGAAGGGUGCAAGCGUUAUUCGGAAUUACUGGGCGUAAAGGGCGCGUAGGUGGAUGUUUAAGUCUGCUGUGAAAGCUCCGGGCUCAACCUGGGAAUGGCAGUGGAUACUGGACAGCUAGAGUGCGGUAGAGGGUAGUGGAAUUCCCGGUGUAGCAGUGAAAUGCGUAGAGAUCGGGAGGAACACCAGUGGCGAAGGCGGCUGCCUGGACCAGCACUGACACUGAAGCACGAAAGCGUGGGGAGCAAACAGG
This 253-nucleotide ribosomal RNA is filed under the name uncultured bacterium. RNAcentral's name for it is "partial 16S ribosomal RNA". It matches the Rfam family "Bacterial small subunit ribosomal RNA", at positions 524 to 776 of the family's 1533-position model. The record is from RNAcentral.